CGGAAGAGGGGUUGAAGGCAAUCGGCAGAUAUGAAAUAUAAUGAAAUAUUACAGCAAUCCCCAUCGUUGUGCUGCACUUCUAUGCUCCCCUACGUCUACGCUCUCCGCACUGACCGGCGCGGUGAAGUAUGGUCAGACGAACCCAACUCGACUCGAACGGGCUUGGCGAGACCCUCAUCCAGCAGCGGAUUGACCAAAGGAGCUGCACAUUUGGCGAUUGAGAUCUCAAGAAAAAACACGUUGACAGCAAAGAUCAAACAAGGGAAGAUGGUCUCUGCAUCACCUUCCAUCAAGCUUCCUGCAAAACGGCGACACUCACCCUUUGACUGGUUUGAGGGUCCAGAUGUCGACACCACUUCUGAAUCUGAGGAUUAAAAGAGAAUCGGAGUUUGUUUUGAGGGACGUUGUUUUACGUUCCAUUGUUCUUGGCGAAAUGGUAGCCAGGGUGGAGACUUUUAGCCACCGCAGUUCAAAUGUUUUGGGUGUUCAGUUUUAAGUCGCUGAUUUUCAUCAAUUUUCAGAGAGGAGGUGGGGGGGUGGACACUUUCGCCGUUAACACUGGUCAACAACAACAACACAACAUGUUUUUCUGGCCUGGACUUUUGCAGCUGUUCUAGACUAAUUUCAGGGUGCCGAUUCCAAAUCUGAUCUCAGAUUUGCUCAAUCACAUCUCAUUUUUAAAUCCUUUAUAUUAAGUUCGCUUGCUUGCUUAGGACCGUGCAAAUCUUUCGGUCGUUUUUUAACCCACUUCCCGUGAUCCAAUCGAGCUGACAUUUUGUACACAGACUCGUUGUGCGUGACAAUGCAUUUUCCUGAAAAAAACAUUUCCUAAAUUUUACACUGUUUAGGGAAAUUUUUAAAUAUUUAAUUACCAAUUGUUUAAUGGUGGCAGACAAUCAUCUGACCCAUAGGUGGCAGCCAUCUCAAGCCAGAGGACGAGAGGACUCUAGCCGCCCCGAUGCCACGCAUAUAAAGGAUUUAUAGUGAAAAACUUUGUUUUUACGGGUUAAUUUUUUAUGCUAUCGGCAUACCCCAUUUUCAUUGAUUUUACCCGAAAUUAACUCUGUCACUUAUGAUAGCAAGUUGUUGCGAGUCAGUGACUGCUUUAGUGUUAAAAUACGGUGCUGUAUUUUUAGGAUAGUGUGUUUAUAAUAUCAUUUUAUGUAGAUAUCCACAUUAAUUUAAUAUUUUUCUUCUGCAGUUUUUAUUGAAAAUGCAAUCUUUGAUAGCUCAAAAACAUUUUGAUUGCAUUUUGAUUGUAAA
Molecule: long non-coding RNA, 1263 nt
Organism: Lethenteron reissneri (Far Eastern brook lamprey)
Lineage: Eukaryota; Metazoa; Chordata; Hyperoartia; Petromyzontiformes; Petromyzontidae
Source: RefSeq, a predicted model, not a curated record